RNAcentral lists this long non-coding RNA (5942 nucleotides) under Populus tremula. RNAcentral describes it as "long non-coding RNA (PTRE_LNC003274)". Lineage: Eukaryota; Viridiplantae; Streptophyta; Magnoliopsida; Malpighiales; Salicaceae. The record is from RNAcentral.
ACCACAGGAGCAGGCCUUGCACAAAAUAGCGUGGAAAGCAAUUGCUGAACCAAGCGAGCUAGUUGAGGCCAGAAGGGAUCGGUACUAGUUUAUCGCUAUAGGGAUUUUCAUGGCUUCCAGCAGCGUACAAGGGAUAACCUCAUCUUCAUCUUCUUCUCCUCCACUAUAUAUGUAUGAUGUGUUCCUUAGUUUUAGAGGCAAAGACAAGCGGAACAACUUUACUAGUCAUCUAUGUUCUAAUCUGGCUCAGAGAGGCAUUAUGGGUAGAAAGUGUCCAGAGAUGAGUGGCUGGGAUUCAUUAAUGAUAUGAAAUAACCAUAAUAAAAAAAAAACAUAUUCUUAAUUAAAUCCUCUUUAUACUAUUAUUGUGAUUUUUUUAAUUUAUUUAUUUAUUUAUCAGAAUGUUUAUUUUUUGAAGAAAAAAAAAGUUAUGAGAGUCAUAAAAAAAAAAAUUAAUGGUUAUAUAAUUAUGCCAUGAAUGUAUAUUAUUUAUGUAAUCAUGCAGUAAUAAAAAGGUUGUGCAGAAAGCCAAAAAUAAAAAUUUAUUCUAGAGCCAACGGAAAUAAAGGUCGCGAAGAGGGUGAUGCCGCUGAUGGUUGGUUCUCUUCCUCCUUGUGAGUAUUUAAUGGUGCUGCAAUUAAUAUCAACCGCAUUACAGUUGAGGCAGGCAUUUAAUGGUGCUUCAGCAGGAAGAAAUAUUGGAUUAUCUCUUGGAGUCUUCGUCUAUGCUAUCUUAAUUACGGGUAGAAAGUGUCGGGAGAUGAGUGUUCAAGCUAUGGUGGCUCCAUUAUCCUAGAGGUUGGAUUCAGUUUUGUUAUACAAGCACUAGUAUAUUAAACAUUUAAUAAAAAUAAGGAUAAAAAUCAAAAUAAAAAAUAAAUUAAAGUAUAACUAAAUUUUUUCAAUUGAAGGGUUAACUGGAAAGAAAAAUGACUUGAACAAAAAUAAAAAUAAAAAAAUAAUAAAGAUAAAAUUGAAAAAAAUAACACAUUAUAAACUUGGAUUGAAUGGUAAGAUUAAAAGCCAAUAAAACUUUUAUAAAAGAGUUAAGGGAAAAAAGAAAAAAAUCCAGAGAAUAUAGACCAAACAAAAAAAAAGAAAUAUAUGAAAAUUCAAAAUCGAAGGACUAAAUUGAAAAGAAAUAACACUUAUACAAAAGGGAAAACGGAAACAAAAAUAUAAAUUGAGGACCAAAUUAAAAACAAUAAAAUAAAAUAAACUUGAAUUGAAGGAUGAAAUUGAAAAAAAAAAUUAUCAUGAAAGGGUCAAUUAAAAAAACUAGAAAUACAAAAAAUAAGAACCAAAUUCAAAAGUAUAAUAUAUUAUAAAUUGGAAUUGAAGGACUAAAUUAAAAAAAAAUAAAACUUUUAUUAAAGGUUCAAUGAUGAAAAUAAAAAAUCAAAAGAAGAAGGACCAAAACAAAAAUACAAAAAACAAAAAAAACCAAUAUGCAAUUUUUGGGGGAGCAAUAAAAAGAAAAGACCUCCUAACAACAAAGCUAUAAUUAUUGAAUUGUUGACGAGAGGGAAAGAGGUGAUUGUAGAGUGGUUGUUGGGGCUGCUGGUAUGGGUGGUGGAUGUUGUGGUGGUUUGAUAUGGCUAUUUGGAUUGGAGUGAAGGAGUGGAGUUGUUGCAACGAUGACAGAGGGGCUAGUUCAUUGGUUAAGGUUUCUGACAAGGUGAGGGCAAUCAAGAAUUGAGGUUUUUGUAUUGAUAGAAAUGCAGAAAAACUCCAAUCUUGAAAGCAAAAAAUGGCAUCACUAGUAGGAAGAGAAGUGUUAUUGAAAGCUAUGGCGGCGGCAAAUUGUGUAUCUUAUUCCAUGGAAAAUUGAAAGGUGCACCAGAGAAGUUGGAAAUAUUCAUAAAAAUCAAAGCUUACAACGACACAAGUUUUAAAGAAUUUGAUUAUUUUAAUAAGGCCUUUCUAUAAAAGUAGUGUUGGCACCUCAAGAAUAAUCCUAAUGAUUUGUGUAGCAAAGUGCUUAAAAAGAUUUGAAUCAAUAUCCCAAAAAGUUGGAUUGGGAAAGAGGUUUCAGACGGUUUGGAAAUUUGAUUUUUUAAAAAAUUAACUUUCUAUAUUUUUAAAUUGUUUUAACAUACUUAAAUCAAAAUUAUUUUUUAAAAAAUUAAUAAAAAAAUUAUUUUAAUAUAUUUAAAAUAACAUACUUCAAAAAAAUAACUGUUAUUAUAUAUCCAAGCACCGUUGUUAAAAGGUUUGAGAUGAGAUAUUGGGAAUGGGAGAAGAAGUGGUAUUUGGGAUCGGAGAGGAAUAAAAGUUGGGUUGUUUGUGAUAAAAACAUUAAAGUUGGAGAUUCUAAACUCAAUUUAAUAUGAUUUUUUUUUUGUUUUUCGUUAAUUAGUUCCAGUUCAUUGGGUGGUGGCUAAGUUUAUUUUUUAAAAAAUCAAUGGGAAUUUAUAAUAUUUAAUGUAAGAGUUUUGUAGUUAUUAGUUUGAAAAUUCAUUAAAAAAUACUUUUCAACUGUGAUGUGUGUCCCAACCCCUGCUCUUGACAGGAAGGUGCCUCUGCUGCCCAGUGCGCGUUUGAUAUCCCUUUCAUUUCUUUUUCUACUUUUUCUCCACCGAAACUCCAUCUUCUUUACAGUGUUAAGAAAAUCCAGGGCUUUGGAAGUUGGUUACUAAGAUACCAGAAGAAGAAGAAAUAUUGGGCUUGGCUGGAUCUAAAAUGUCAUAGAAACUUUUUAUUGUAUCUAAAAUGUCCUUAUUUACUUUUUGAAAAAGAUAGUCAUAGGAAAAACUUAAAACAUUAGAGAAAUAAACAUGAUUAUUUAAUUUAAUUUUGUUUUUGAGUUUAUUUUCUUAAAAAUAUUUCUAUAAAUUCUUAUUAUUUUCAUUUUAACUAUUUUUAUCUAGACAAUAAUUAAGGGCAUUAUGCGUAUUAAAAUAUGUUCCUGUAAAAUCGCCAAAUUUUUAAAUAAUUCUUACAAUUUUACAGUACUUCGCACGAUUGUUGUGAUUCACCUUAGAACUUUUGCAUGCACAUAUUAAUGCACGGUUUAUGGUGUUUUUUUCAAGGUCAGUUUUAAAAUUUUGUUGGAAAGUUCUUGGAAUGCAAAAAUAUUUAUGUUAAAUAAUAAGGACUUGAUAAUUCAUUAAAAAAUAUGAACCACUCAAUUGUGAUGGGUGUGGACUCUGCUGCCCAAUGCGCGUUCAAUAUCCCUUUCAUUUCUCUUUUUGUUUUUUCUCCACCGAAACUCCAUCUUCUUUUCAGUGUAAGAAAAAGAUCUAAAAGGCAUCUUGUGUUUGGCUAUUUCCAUGUCACUAUGCACGACAGAAAAAAGAGAGGAUGCUCUUUUUAUUUGUAUGGAUCAAUCAAAGAAUGAACAUUAAAUAUGAAAGUGUGGAUCAAAGAAUGUGUGGAUCCAAGGAGAACAAUGAACAUCCCAAAAGGAGUAUGAAAGUGAUGAAUUAAGAUUUUAUUUGUAUAUUUUUAUAAAAAUUCAAGAAAGAUUUAUAAGUUUAAAUUUUCAGGAAUAUAAACAUGCACUGAUAAAAAUAUAUCAGGUCUAACACUAGUCAAAUAUAGGCACAUUAGGCUUGGUAGUAUACCAAGUCCCGGACAUGCUAAGUCUAGUAGUUUGAAAUGACUUUUUUUUUUCUUAAACACGCUCAAGAUAAUGAUUAUCCUCUCUUGAGUCUAAUAUAUGAGAAUACCUCAUUCUCUAUGAGCAUUAGCUAUAAAAGUCAUUCAAAGACCUUUAUAUUUCAUCAAAUAUUAAUAUAGAUGUACUAUCAUUAAAUGUUAGAAAGAUCUCUUCACAAAAAAAAAAAAGAUUUAUAGGCUAUAAAUAUACAAUGAAACUUUCAGAAUAGAGGUUCACAAUCUUCAUCUUUUACUACAUACAUAAUUUCAAAGCAUCUCUCUCUAGAAUAUUAUUGUAUUUUUUUCCUUUUAAAAAGAUAUUUAUUUUAAGUAUAGAUUUCAUUAUAAAUCAAGGGUAUUAAUAUGAUUUUUAUUAUAGAAAGCAAAAGGCAAAAAACUAUUUGUUAUUAUUUUUAAUUUUAACAACUCUAAUUAAUGGUAUAGCUAUUUGAAUAGCUAAAAUACAUUUCUUCUACUAAAAUACUAUUUUUACAUAUCUACAUACAAAAGCCAACGUCUCUUUAUCUAUGGUUGGCUUUUGUUUUUCUCUUUAAAGACACAACAAGAAGAAGAAAAGAAGCUUGCAAACCUAAAAAUUUUAACAUUAUUAUAUAAAACUAAAAACUGAAACUAUUAAUAUAAAUAAAAUUUGAUUUUAAAAGUGUAAAAUUUAAACCUCAAAUUAUAUCUUUAAACUUUCAUAUUAUUUUAUUAAUUUUAUAAAUUACUCAUAUUAAUUAUAUAAUAAAUAACAUGAUUAUAUUAUAUAAAAAAUAAUUAAACUAGUUAUAUAUAUAAUUAUAUUAAAAUUAGUUUAAUAUAAAAUAUAUUAAAAUAUAAUUACCUUUUUCUAAAUAGCUUUUUACCAUCGGAAUAUAUAUAAAUAAAUAAAAUUAUAUUUAUAUUAUUUAAAAAACUAUUUUAUCAAUUUAAUUUAUACUUUUAAAAAUAACAUUUUUUAUUGGAGUUGCUCGUGUGCAGAAUUAUACAAGGGAGAGAGGAAGGCAACAAAGGGAAAGAGACAAAAGAAGUCCAAACAUAAUAUAACCCCUCUCUUGACAGGAAGGUGCCUCUGCUGCCCAGUGCGCGUUCCAUAUCCCUAUAAUUUCUGGUUUGGGAAAGUGGUUUUAGACCCGUUUGAAAAUUUGAUUUUUUAAAAUUAUUUUUUAUAUAUAUUUUUAAAUUAUUUUGAUGUAUUUAUAUUAAAAUUAUUUUAAAAAUAAUAAUACAUAAAAUUAUUUUAAAAAUAAUAAUACAUAAAAUUAUUUUCAUAAAUUUCGAAAAAUAAAUUUCUUUUAAAAAAUAAUUACUAUUAUAUUUUUAAGCAUUCUGGUAUAAGAUUUGAGAUGAGAUAUUGGUAAGGGGAGAAAAAUUGGUGUUUGAGAUUAGGAAAAAUCAAAGUUGGACUGUUUGCCAUAAAAAUAUUAAAGUUUGAGAUUCUAAAAUCAAUUUAAUAUGAAUUUUUUUUUGUCUUUCGUUAAUUAGUUCCAGUUAAUAGGGUGGCACGUGGCUAAGUUUUUUUUUUAAAAAAAAAAAUCAAUGAGAAUUUAUAAUAUUUAAUAUAAGAGUUUUAUAGUUAAUAAUUUGAAAAUGCAUUAAAAAAUACUUUUCAAUUGUGAUGUGUGGGGCCAAUCCCUGCUCUUGACAGGAAGGUGCCUCUGCUGCCCAAUGCGCGUUCGUUAUCUCUUUCAUUUGUUUUUUCUCUUUUUUCUCCACCAAAACUCCAUCUUCCUUACAGUGUAAGAAAAAGAUCCGUAAGAAAAUCAUUGGAAACUUACCAGUACGAGUUCUUGACCUCAAGAAACCGGAAACAAUUCGAAGUCAUUGGAAUAAAAAGAAAGAAAAGGGCUUUGGAAGUUGGUUACUAAGAUACCAGAACAAGAAAAAAUAUUGAGCCUGGCUGGAUCUUGUGCCUCUUUAGCCAACACUUACCACACGGUUUGUUUCGUCUAGAUUCGUGAAAUACUCGUAGAAAUUUGGUGUUUUCUGAUUUCUAAGUAGAAUUAUACAUGUUCGAGCUUGAAAUUGCUAUUUGGUAGAUUUAAUUGCCAAAUUUCUUGAUCUUACCUUCUGUUUCAUGUUUGACCACAGGAGCAGGCCUUAUACAAAAUAGCGUGGAAAGCAAUUGCUGAACCAAGCGAGCUAGUUGAGGCCAGAAGGGAUCGGUGCUAGUUUAUAGCUUCAGGGAUUUUCAUGGCUUCCAGCAGCGUGCAAGGAAUAACCUCAUCUUCAUCUUCUUCUCCUCCCCUAUAUAUGUAUGAUGUGUUCCUUAGUUUUAGAGGCAAAGACACCCGGAACAACUUUACUAGUCAUCUAUAUUCUAAUCUGAAACAGAAAGGCAU